This 1346-nucleotide ribosomal RNA is filed under the name uncultured bacterium. Its description in RNAcentral is "partial 16S ribosomal RNA". It matches the Rfam family "Bacterial small subunit ribosomal RNA", at positions 28 to 1381 of the family's 1533-position model. The record is from RNAcentral.
GACGAACGCUGGCGGCGUGCUUAACACAUGCAAGUCGAACGGAAAGGCCCUGCUUUUGUGGGGUGCUCGAGUGGCGAACGGGUGAGUAACACGUGAGUAACCUGCCCUUGACUUUGGGAUAACUUCAGGAAACUGGGGCUAAUACCGGAUAGGAGCUCCUGCUGCAUGGUGGGGGUUGGAAAGUUUCGGCGGUUGGGGAUGGACUCGCGGCUUAUCAGCUUGUUGGUGGGGUAGUGGCUUACCAAGGCUUUGACGGGUAGCCGGCCUGAGAGGGUGACCGGCCACAUUGGGACUGAGAUACGGCCCAGACUCCUACGGGAGGCAGCAGUGGGGAAUAUUGUACAAUGGGCGGAAGCCUGAUGCAGCAACGCCGCGUGCGGGAUGACGGCCUUCGGGUUGUAAACCGCUUUCGCCUGUGACGAAGCGUGAGUGACGGUAAUGGGUAAAGAAGCACCGGCUAACUACGUGCCAGCAGCCGCGGUGAUACGUAGGGUGCGAGCGUUGUCCGGAUUUAUUGGGCGUAAAGGGCUCGUAGGUGGUUGAUCGCGUCGGAAGUGUAAUCUUGGGGCUUAACCCUGAGCGUGCUUUCGAUACGGGUUGACUUGAGGAAGGUAGGGGAGAAUGGAAUUCCUGGUGGAGCGGUGGAAUGCGCAGAUAUCAGGAGGAACACCAGUGGCGAAGGCGGUUCUCUGGGCCUUUCCUGACGCUGAGGAGCGAAAGCGUGGGGAGCGAACAGGCUUAGAUACCCUGGUAGUCCACGCUGUAAACGGUGGGUACUAGGUGUGGGGUCCAUUCCACGGGUUCCGUGCCGUAGCUAACGCUUUAAGUACCCCGCCUGGGGAGUACGGCCGCAAGGCUAAAACUCAAAGGAAUUGACGGGGCCCCGCACAAGCGGCGGAGCAUGCGGAUUAAUUCGAUGCAACGCGUAGAACCUUACCUGGGUUUGACAUGGAUCGGGAGUGCUCAGAGAUGGGUGUGCCUCUUUUGGGGUCGGUUCACAGGUGGUGCAUGGCUGUCGUCAGCUCGUGUCGUGAGAUGUUGGGUUAAGUCCCGCAACGAGCGCAACCCUUGUUCACUGUUGCCAGCACGUUAUGGUGGGGACUCAGUGGAGACCGCCGGGGUCAACUCGGAGGAAGGUGGGGAUGACGUCAAGUCAUCAUGCCCCUUAUGUCCAGGGCUUCACGCAUGCUACAAUGGCUGGUACAGAGAGUGGCGAGCCUGUGAGGGUGAGCGAAUCUCGGAAAGCCGGUCUCAGUUCGGAUUGUGGUCUGCAACUCGACCUCAUGAAGUCGGAGUCGCUAGUAAUCGCAGAUCAGCAACGCUGCGGUGAAUACGUUCCCGGGGCU